Molecule: ribosomal RNA, 2221 nt
Filed under: Eugerda sp. JW-2004
Lineage: Eukaryota; Metazoa; Arthropoda; Malacostraca; Isopoda; Desmosomatidae
Description: bacterial SSU rRNA
Rfam family: Eukaryotic small subunit ribosomal RNA
Source: RNAcentral
CAUAUGCUUGUCUCAAAGAUUAAGCCAUGCAUGUCUGAGUACAGACCGAUCUAAGGUGAAACCGCGAAUGGCUCAUUAAAUCAGUCAUAAUUUCUUGGAUAGUGAUAAAAUUUCCUCGGAUAACUGUGGAAAAUCCAGAGCUAAUACGUGCAACUGAGCUCCGACCUCGACGCGAGUCUUGGGAAGAGCGCAUUUAUUAGAUUCAAAACUGACCGGUGUACUCCUUCGGGAUACGCCGUUUGUCAAAAAGUUUGAUGACUCCGGAUAACUUAGCCGAGCGCUACGGUCUUUAGUACCGGCGCCGUAUCUUUCAAGUGUCUGCCUUAUCAGCUUUCGAUUGUAGGUUAAACGCCUACAAUGGCUGUAACGGGUAACGGGGAAUCAGGGUUCGAUUCCGGAGAGGGAGCCUGAGAAACGGCUACCACAUCUAAGGAAGGCAGCAGGCACGCAAAUUACCCACUCCCAGCCCGGGGAGGUAGUGACGAAAAAUAACGAUGCGAGACUCUUCCGAGGCCUCGCAAUCGGAAUGAGUCCAUUUUAAAUCCUUGGACGAGGAUCCAUUGGAGGGCAAGUCUGGUGCCAGCAGCCGCGGUAAUUCCAGCUCCAAUAGCGUAUAUUAAAGUUGCUGCGGUUAAAAAGCUCGUAGUUGGAUCUCCUUAAUCCAAUUCGUGGGUGAGUCGCUCUUAGUACUAGCGCCUCGUGCGGUUCCUUGAUGACGUCGUCGUCGCGCGCGUUCUUUCUCUUUUCUUCUGCUCGUUGUCGCGUUCUUCUUCUGCUCUUUCGGGAGUUGGGAGUCGACGCACGCGAUGUCAGAGAAAGAGGAGGUUCCUCCGCCGGCAACGCUACAGAAUCUCGUGGGCGGCGAGGUGUUGUCUUAGAGUAUAGCUCGUCCGCGUUUGGUACAAUUACAUUUUUGUCGGCUCGCUCGGAGUGCUCUUUACCGAGUGUUCCAGGGUGGCUGACACGUUCACUUUGAAAAAAUUAGAGUGCUUAAAGCGGGCUUAUUUACGGCCUGAAUGUCUGUGCAUGGAAUGAAGUAACAGGACCUCGAUUCUGUUGUUUUUGUCGGUUUUAUUGAACCGAGGUAAUGAUUAAAAGGGACAGACGGUGGCAUUAGUAUUGCGACGCUAGAGGUGAAAUUCUUGGACCGUCGCAAGACUAACUACUGCGAAAGCAUUUGCCGAGAAUGUUUUCAUUAAUCAAGAACGAAAGUUAGAGGAUCGAAGGCGAUCAGAUACCGCCCUAGUUCUAACCCUAAACUAUGCUAACUAGCGAUCCGCCGGAGUCAUUCCCACGACCCGGCGGGAAGCCCCAGGGAAACCAAAGUCUUUGAGUUCCGGGGGAAGUUAUGGUUGCAAAGCUGAAACUUAAAGGAAUUGACGGAAGGGCACCACCAGGAGUGGACGUGCGGCUUAAUUUGACUCAACACGGGAAACCUCACCAGGCCCGGACAUCAUAAGGAUUGACAGGUUGAGAGCUCUUUCUCGAUUUGAUGGGUGGUGGUGCAUGGCCGUUCUUAGUUGGUGGAGUGAUCUGUCUGGUUGAUUCCGAUAACGAACGAGACUCUACCCUACUAACUAGUCGGCGGAUCGUAACCCUGAGAUGGUUAGUUUGUAUAGGAGAGUUUUUGCCGAGACGGCCUCUCUGCGAGAUCGCUAGUGGUUUCGGUGUGCGGCGUUUCCCCUCCUGCCCGUUAGCCCCCCUCUAAAGGGAGCGAAGCGAGUAGUGGGUUCGUCGUACUCCUCCUCUAGCGGUUUACUGAUACCGUCGAAGCGGCUUUCCGAUUACUACUACUGCUGGGGGCGUCCGUCGUAAUAUAUCUUCUUAGAGGGAUCAGCGGCGUAUAGCGCACGAGAAAGAGCAAUAACAGGUCUGUGAUGCCCUUAGAUGUUCUGGGCCGCACGCGCGCUACAAUGUAGGGCUCAGCGUGCUUUCCCUCUCCGAAAGGAGAUGGGUAACCCGUUGAAACCCCUACCCGAUUGGGAUUGGGGAUUGCAAUUAUUUCCCAUAAACGAGGAAUUCCCAGUAAGCGCGAAUCAUUAAUUCGCGCUGAUUACGUCCCUGCCCUUUGUACACACCGCCCGUCGCUACUACCGAUUGAAUGAUUCAGUGAGGGCAUCGGACUGGCCCUUCGGUUUAGUUACCUAGACCUUAGGCUGACGGAAAGAUGUCCGAACUUGAUCAUUUAGAGGAAGUAAAAGUCGUAACAAGGUUUCCGUAG